Non-coding RNA from Paragonimus kellicotti, 83 nucleotides. Lineage: Eukaryota; Metazoa; Platyhelminthes; Trematoda; Plagiorchiida; Troglotrematidae. The record is from the annotation of a GenBank genome assembly.
GGCUUCGUAGCUCAGCUGGUAGAGCGCGUGCUGCGUUUUUGGUAUGGUGUAUUCUGUCGCUGUUUCGAAUCCAGCCGAAGCCU